This 253-nucleotide ribosomal RNA is filed under the name uncultured bacterium. Its description in RNAcentral is "partial 16S ribosomal RNA". It matches the Rfam family "Bacterial small subunit ribosomal RNA", at positions 524 to 776 of the family's 1533-position model. The record is from RNAcentral.
UACGUAGGGGGCAAGCGUUGUCCGGAUUUAUUGGGCGUAAAGAGCGUGUAGGCGGUUAGGUAGGUCCGUUGUGAAAACUCGAGGCUCAACCUCGAGACGCCGAUGGAAACCAUCUGACUAGAGUCCGGAAGAGGAGAGUGGAAUUCCUGGUGUAGCGGUGAAAUGCGCAGAUAUCGGGAGGAACACCAAUGGCGAAGGCAGCUCGCUGGGACGUGACUGACGCUGAGACGCGAAAGCGUGGGGAGCAAACAGG